RNAcentral lists this transfer RNA (89 nucleotides) under Anotrichium furcellatum. RNAcentral describes it as "tRNA-Ser". It matches the Rfam family "tRNA". From Rfam's summary of the family: Transfer RNA (tRNA) molecules are approximately 80 nucleotides in length. Their secondary structure includes four short double-helical elements and three loops (D, anti-codon, and T loops). Lineage: Eukaryota; Rhodophyta; Florideophyceae; Ceramiales; Ceramiaceae. The record is from RNAcentral.
GGAGAGGUGGCUGAGUGGUCGAAAGCGGCAGAUUGCUAAUCUGUUGUACAGUUAUAAUUGUACCGAGGGUUCGAAUCCCUUCCUCUCCU